GACGAACGCUGGCGGCGUGCUUAACACAUGCCAGUCGAACGGAAAGGCCCUGCUUUUGUGGGGUGCUCGAGUGGCGAACGGGUGAGUAACACGUGAGUAACCUGCCCUUGACUUUGGGAUAACUUCAGUAAACUGGGGCUAAUACCGGAUAGGAGCUCCUGCUGCAUGGUGGGGGUUGGAAAGUUUCGGCGGUUGGGGAUGGACUCGCGGCUUAUCAGCUUGUUGGUGGGGUAGUGGCUUACCAAGGCUUUGACGGGUAGCCGGCCUGAGAGGGUGACCGGCCACAUUGGGACUGAGAUACGGCCCAGACUCCUACGGGAGGCAGCAGUGGGGAAUAUUGCACAAUGGGCGGAAGCGUGAUGCAGCAACGCGGCGUGCGGGAUGACGGCCUUCGGGUUGUAAACCGCUUUCGCCUGUGACGAAGCGUGAGUGACGGUAAUGGGUAAAGAAGCACCGGCUAACUACGUG
RNAcentral lists this ribosomal RNA (468 nucleotides) under uncultured bacterium. Its description in RNAcentral is "partial 16S ribosomal RNA". It matches the Rfam family "Bacterial small subunit ribosomal RNA", at positions 28 to 507 of the family's 1533-position model. The record is from RNAcentral.